RNAcentral lists this long non-coding RNA (793 nucleotides) under Mytilus galloprovincialis (Mediterranean mussel). The record is from RNAcentral. Lineage: Eukaryota; Metazoa; Mollusca; Bivalvia; Mytilida; Mytilidae.
UAAGAUUGAAACAUGCAAUUUAUCCACAUUUAAACUUUAUUCAACACAGAUACUGUCUAUGAUUAUAUAUGGAAAAUAUUUAUAGAUUAUAUAUUCAGCUUGGAUCUCGUGUCAAUUAAAGGGGGACAUUGGUCACUCUUCCAGAACCUUUACUCAUGUCUGCUGCUCGUAUUCAUCGUUUGCGGACCUUGUUGUUAGAUUCUAACUAGGGUUCCCAACCCCGGACCCCCGACCGCCUGGAUCCGCAACUGCCUAAGCGAUUACAAAUACAUGUAUUAAGUAACGUGAAUGUAUUCAUAUUAAUUUAUUUAAUCGAUGAUUUGUACAUAUAAGAAUUGAAUAAUAACUCAUACAGAAUAAAUGCAAGUUAUGAUAAAAAAUUUAACAAGAAAGGCUUCACCGCAUACUUCAUGUUAAAUGUGUGUAUAUAAGUAUUCUUACCUCUACUAAGGCAAUAGGAAAACAAACUCAUGGACCAUUCAAGUACACCGUAACUUUUCAAUUGAUUCUUUUUGACUUGAAUUCCAAGCCAUGAGAUUUGUUUGAUUAUUGGUGAAAUAAGACGCAAACUGGGUGUAAGAAACUAUUGUUUUGAUUUUCUGUGUCAAACGUUUAUAAAUAUAAAAAAGAAGAUUUGGUGUAAUUGCCAAUGAGACAACUCUAAACAAGAGAACAAAUUAAAUGACACAGAAAUGAACAACUAUAGGUCACCGUACGGCCUUCAACAAUGAGCAAAGCCCAUACCGCAUAGUCAGCUAUAAAAGGCCUAGAAAUAACUUUUGUUGCAUGGUUG